This 373-nucleotide ribosomal RNA is filed under the name uncultured eukaryote. Its description in RNAcentral is "partial 18S ribosomal RNA". It matches the Rfam family "Eukaryotic small subunit ribosomal RNA", at positions 592 to 976 of the family's 1831-position model. The record is from RNAcentral.
CAAUAGCGUAUAUUAAAGUUGUUGCAGUUAAAAAGCUCGUAGUUGAAUUUUUGCUUGCCGCCGAUGUCGGAACUUCCGUACGUUCGGCGGCGUGCAUCCUUGGGUGGAACCUGUGUGGCAUUAGGUUGUCGUGCAGGGGAUGCUCAUCGUUUACUGUGAAAAAAUUAGAGUGUUCAAAGCAGGCUUACGCCGUUGAAUAUAUUAGUAUGGAAUAAUAAGAUAGGACCUUGGUACUAUUUUGUUGGUUUGCGCACCGAGGUAAUGAUUAACAGGGACAGUUGGGGGUAUUCGUAUUCCAUUGUCAGAGGUGAAAUUCUUGGAUUUCUGGAAGACGAACUACUGCGAAAGCAUUUACCAAGGAUGUUUUCAUUAA